This 455-nucleotide ribosomal RNA is filed under the name uncultured bacterium. RNAcentral describes it as "bacterial SSU rRNA". It matches the Rfam family "Bacterial small subunit ribosomal RNA", at positions 340 to 786 of the family's 1533-position model. The record is from RNAcentral.
UACGGAAGGCAGCAGUGGGGAAUAUUGCACAAUGGGCGAAAGCCUGAUGCAGCUAUGCCGCGUGUAUGAAGAAGGCCUUAGGGUUGUAAAGUACUUUCAUCGGGGAGGAAAAACAAAACUAAUAAUUUUAUUUCUUGACGUUACCCGAAAAAGAAGCACCGGCUAACUCCGUGCCAGCAGCCGCGGUAAUACGGAGGGUGCUAGCGUUAAUCAGAAUUACUGGGCGUAAAGAGCACGUAGGUGGUUUUUUAAAGUCAGAUGUGAAAUCCCUGGGCUUAACCUAGGAACUGCAUUUUGAAACUGAAAUACUAGAGUAUCGUAGAGGGAGGUAGAAUUCUAGGUGUAGCGGUGAAAUGCGUAGAUAUCUGGAGGAAUACCUGUGGCGAAAGCGGCCUCCUAAACGAAUACUGACACUGAGGUGCGAAAGCGUGGGGAGCAAACAGGGAUUAGAUACC